CAAGAGGAGAAUUUCGGAAGGGUGGGGGCUCCUCUAGCGUUGGGGAAGGAUGUCGCAGUUCUGGAAACCAGGGACGGAGAGGCCACAGGGUCGGGUGGUGGAUGAUGAAGAAGGCGGUGUUCUCUUCUUGUCUUCUUCUCACUCUUCCUCUUCUUCUGGAUUUGGUUACGCCAGCAUCGAGAAACAACGCCAGCGAUUGCCUGUGUACAAGUACCGCACCGCCAUUCUCUACCUCGUCGAGACUCAUGCCACCACCAUCAUCGUCGGUGAGACCGGAAGUGGCAAGACCACUCAAAUUCCUCAGUACCUGAAAGAGGCAGGUUGGGCCACCGGUGGUCGACUCAUUGCUUGCACUCAACCUAGACGACUAGCUGUUCAGGCUGUUGCUGCCAGAGUUGCCGAAGAGAUGGGAGUGAAUCUCGGUGAUGAAGUUGGAUACACCAUUAGGUUUGAAGAUAUUACCAAACCAGAUGUAACGGUGCUAAAAUUUUUAACCGAUGGAGUGCUCCUGAGGGAGAUGAUGGACGAUCCUCUUUUGACCAAAUAUAGUGUAAUAAUGGUGGAUGAGGCUCAUGAAAGGUCAAUUUCAACUGACAUUUUGCUUGGACUAUUGAAAAAGAUUCAACGGCGUAGACCAGAGUUGCGGUUGAUUAUCUCAUCUGCUACUAUUGAAGCAAAAUCGAUGUCUGACUUUUUUCAAACAAGAAAAAAGCGCAGAGAACCUCAAAAUGAGGACCAUGGGCUACAAGUGGAACCUGCAAUUUUAUCAGUUGAGGGCAGAGGCUUCAAUGUACAAAUUAAUUAUGCUGAGGAACCUGUCCAAGACUAUGUUCAGGCUGCUGUUUCAACUGUUCUCUUGAUCAAUGAGCGGGAGCCCACAGGAGAUGUUCUAGUGUUCCUUACUGGUCAAGAUGAUAUUGAUGCUGCUGUUCAAUUACUCACUGAUGAAAUUCAAACUAAUGGAAAACACUCUUCAGGAUUGAUUGUUUUGCCUCUGUAUUCUGGACUUCCACGUGCUGAACAGGAGUUAGUGUUUUCUCCAACUCCUCGAGGAAAGAGGAAAAUAGUAAUUUCUACUAAUAUAGCUGAAACAUCAUUAACAUUGGAGGGAAUAGUCUAUGUUGUGGACAGUGGAUUCUCAAAACAGCGGUUCUACAAUCCGAUUUCUGAUAUUGAAAAUCUGGUUGUGGCACCAAUAUCUAGGGCUUCUGCUAGACAAAGAGCUGGUAGGGCUGGACGAGUUCGACCAGGAAAGUGUUACAGGCUAUAUACAGAAGAAUAUUUUCUUAACCACAUGUCUAAUGAGGGAAUUCCAGAGAUACAGAGGUCAAAUCUGGUCUCCUGUGUAAUCCAGUUAAAGGCCUUGGGGAUUGAUAAUAUCUUGGGCUUUGACUGGCCAGCAUCUCCAUCUCCUGAAGCAAUGAUCCGAGCACUAGAAGUUCUCUACUCACUUGGGGUUUUGGAUGAUGAUGCUAAGCUGACUGCACCAACUGGAUUUCAAGUUGCUGAGAUUCCACUUGAUCCAAUGGUCUCAAAAAUGAUAAUAGCUUCUAGUGAACUUGGGUGUUCAGAGGAGAUAAUCACAAUUGCAGCUGUUCUUUCUGUCCAAUCUAUCUGGAUCUCAGGGAGAGGGAUACAAAAGGAAUCAGAUGAAGCAAAGUUGAGAUUUGCUGCCGCUGAGGGUGACCAUGUAACCUUCCUUAAUGUAUAUAAGGGGUUUCUUCAGUCUGGUAAAUCUUCACAGUGGUGUCACAAGAACUAUGUAAAUUACCAUGCCAUGAGAAAGGUUCUUGAAGUUAGAGAACAACUCAAAAGAACUGCACAGAGGAUAGGCUUAGUCUUAAAAUCUUGUGAAAGUGAUAUGCAGGUGGUUAGAAAGGCAGUUACUACUGGCUUUUUUGCUAAUGCGUGCCAUUUAGAGGCAUACAGUCAUAAUGGGAUGUAUAAGACGUUACGAGGCUCACAAGAAGUUUAUAUUCACCCAUCAUCAGUGCUAUUCAGAGUAAAUCCAAAGUGGGUUAUUUACAGCUCUCUCGUCUCAACUGAUCGACAAUACAUGCGUAAUGUCAUAACCGUAGAUCCUUCAUGGCUAUUGGAGGCUGCUCCCCACUUCUACCAACUACAGCAACCUAAUCUUCACUGAUUUGCCUUGGCAUAUUAACCGAGUCCAAGGCGAAGGAAAGAAAUUGAUAUAUCAAUUAUCAAAUCUUAGUUCUAAUAGAGCAGAUUAACCGUGAUAGUGCCUUUUGUAGAUACCCUCCUUGCACCACAUAAGAAGAAUCUGGAAUAUCCAUGAAAACAUUAUAGGCCAGAACAAAAGAAGAGAUCAUUGAAGAUCAUUGUAUCCUUAAUGGGAACAUUUUGGCGCCCAUCGUGAGACACGAAUCGCCUCAACUUCAAUCAAUCAUAGUGUUAACAAGAAGCCAACAUGAAGGACAGAGUUAGCAAUUGGGAGUUUUUCAUCAGUAGGAAGUGACCAUGCCUAAUCAACCUAUACCUGAGGUUUUGGCUGAGAAGGGAGGAUGAGAACCUCUCUUCGGUGGUAAAACAAUUAAGGGCUGAAAUGAUGGAGAUACAACGGUUAAGAGAGAAAGACGCUCUUGAGCUAUCGGCUUUAAGGAGAAAAAACGCUAAUCUGAGGAGUGAAAUCAGGACAUAUCUACCCUCUCAAGAUAUAUCGCCCGCUUAGGAACAAGGCGAGUCAUAAGCCUUACAAGAAAAACUAAGAAUAGUUCAGCAGCUAACAAGGACUAACACUUCAGGUGAACGAGAAAGGAUGAUUGGCCGAAGCCCUUUU
This is an RNA transcript of Abrus precatorius (Indian licorice), 2797 nucleotides long. It is a transcript of the gene named probable pre-mRNA-splicing factor ATP-dependent RNA helicase DEAH9, with no coding region annotated. NCBI's taxonomy places the organism in Eukaryota, Viridiplantae, Streptophyta, Magnoliopsida, Fabales, Fabaceae. The transcript has 23 exons. The record is from RefSeq and is a predicted model, not a curated record.